UCGGGAAUUUUGGGCAAUGGGCGAAAGCCUGACCCAGCAACGCCGCGUGAGGGAUGAAGUAUUUCGGUAUGUAAACCUCGAAAGAAUGGGAAGAAUAAAUGACGGUACCAUUUAUAAGCUCCGACUAACUACGUGCCAGCAGCCGCGGUAAUACGUAGGGAGCAAGCGUUGUUCGGAUUUACUGGGCGUAAAGGGCGCGUAGGCGGCGCGGUAAGUCACUUGUGAAAUCUCUGAGCUUAACUCAGAACGGCCAAGUGAUACUGCUGUGCUAGAGUGCGGAAGAGGCAACCGGAAUUCUUGGUGUAGCGGUGAAAUGCGUAGAUAUCAAGAGGAACACCUGAGGCGAAGGCGGGUUGCUGGGCCGACACUGACGCUGAUGCGCGAAAGCCAGGGGAGCAAACG
RNAcentral lists this ribosomal RNA (402 nucleotides) under uncultured bacterium. RNAcentral's name for it is "bacterial SSU rRNA". It matches the Rfam family "Bacterial small subunit ribosomal RNA", at positions 355 to 774 of the family's 1533-position model. The record is from RNAcentral.